Molecule: long non-coding RNA, 3568 nt
Organism: Mya arenaria
Lineage: Eukaryota; Metazoa; Mollusca; Bivalvia; Myida; Myidae
Exons: 4
Source: RefSeq, a predicted model, not a curated record
UAUCCCGAAGCCUGCCUACGGAGAUGGCCGAGUUGUCACGAUCGUUCCUCGUUGCCCAAUUGAAACUUCCCGGCUUGACUCGGAAUAGGGUCGGCCAUUUUGAUAAUAUUUAUGGAGUAGCAGAACAGAAUUUGAGAUGACCUUGCCUGGAAGAAAAGCAUCACAAAAAGAUAUUGCCCUUCACUGGGGUGGGAAAAAAGAUCCAAAAGGCUUUGCAAUAAAAUUUUAUGGUUUUAAAGAUGAACAACCAGCAGACGCAGAAUCCUCCAACUGGUAUACUAUCAAGUGAAGUGACUCAGACUUACCCUGCAGACCAACUAGCAGAAGCAGUAUCCUCCAAAAUGGUAUACUAUUGAGUGAAGCGCCCAGACUUACCCUGCAGGGCAACAAGCAGAAUCAGUAUCCUCCAAACCUGUAUAUGAUUGAGUGAAGUGACCCAGACCUACCCCGCAGAGCAACCAGCAGACGCAGAAUCCUCCAACUGGUAUACUAUCAGGUGAAGUGACUCAGACUUACCCUGCAGACCAACUAGCAGAAGCAGUAUCCUCCAAAAUGGUAUACUAUUGAGUGAAGCGCCCAGACUUACCCUGCAGGGCAACAAGCAGAAUCAGUAUCCUCCAAACCUGUAUAUGAUUGAGUGAAGUGACCCAGACCUACCCCGCAGAGCAACCAGCAGAAGCAGAAUCCUCCAAAAUGGUAUACGAUGGAGUGAAGCGAUCCAGAAUUACCCAGUCCCCAAAGAUGAUGAUGGCGAUAACUCGAUAAGAGAUCCAACUUUGAUGGAAACUGUAAUAGGGGAGAGACCAGCAUAGAUGGUGAACCAAUAUCAAAGGAUUCUACACAAUAAAAGAAACAAAGGUGGUCUGAAGAAGAAAACAAGAUCUUCAUACCAAUCUUUAAAGCAUGUCUAACGGACAAACACAUACCAACUCUUACCGCAUAAGGCUUGCAGCUGGGAAAAUACCUGAAAGGACAAUAGCUCAAAUAAAGAAGAGAGUUCACAACAGGCAAACAAGCUUGGUCAUUGAAAUUGUGUUAAAAGUUUGGUCUCCAGGCUACUUAGUUGAGAUGUCUAGGGUCAUCAACACCUUUUUUCUUUUAAAGGGACUGUACACCAGAUUGGCACCAAUUUUCGUAACGAAUCUCAGGACAAUUAUCUAAUAGAAUGUGUUACCCUUCGAUACCAUAAUUGUAAAAAAAUGUACCAAAAUGUAAAAAAAAAAAUGUGUAGGAGACCGGGUUCGAACAAGUGUCGCCAAAAUUGAAGUCCAGCGUCGUAUUCACUGAGCUACGAUGGCUUAUUUUAAUCAGGUGACAUAAGUAAGCUAAACAAUUAACUCUGUAAUAUCAGGUGAUAACACCGACUAGCCAAUCAAGCAUAAGGAAUGAAUUUUACUAGGUAGAUAUACCCAGUAAUCUUUUUUAAUGGAAAAAUACCUAAUAACUGCUAAACUUGAAUAAAUUGUAAACUAUGUAGUACUUCAGUUAGUAAGUUUCAAUACAUUGUACACAUUAAUACCAAAUUUGUGACAGUCUUCGACAAUCAUUAUUGUCUUUUUUUCUUGCAAAUUGAUGAUCUGGUGCACAGUUGCUUUGAAACUGAACAUGAAUUGUUCAUUAAGCUUCUGUGUUAUAAACAUGAUCUAAAGACAUUUGAUAUUUUAAUGCCCCCACUUAUCAGGAUAAUGGAUUACCUGUGAAUAGACUUAGUUUGGUUGGAAAUUAUUAAGAACUGCUGUGAUCAUUUCCUGAGGUCACAUGAGGCAAGAGGGGGCAUCCGGGUCAUAUCGACACAAUUCUAGUUACUUUCACAAGAUGUUUUACUUAAAGCUGCACUCUUACAGAUAUAAUGUUUUUUACAACUUUUUUUAUUUUUUGUCUUGGAAUGAGUUUUUUUUGCGUAAAUACAAUGUAUCUGCAAACCAGCAUUAAAAGACUGAUGACAAAAGAUGAGUUUGCAGGUUUUCAUAUUUUAUCUCCAAAACUGAUGUUUUAUGCAUUUUUUUUAAACCAUUAGUACAUGCUGAAUUUGCUUGUUGUAAAUGUUACUUCUACAGUUUAAAAGGAUUUUGUUGAAAAUUGCAUACCAGGGGUUAGUUGUCAGAUGUUUGUGCUUUUUGCUCCAUUUUUGAAAUUAUAUAAUUGCUUGAUUAUAAUCAGAAGUCUGUAAAUUCAUCAACAGAUGCCAGAAAAUCAAGAUUUUUAUUCUACUGGGCACCCUAGGUUCAGUGUGAAAUAGUUUUGUAAAAUACAUAUGGGUACUUACAAAAACUUUUAUUGAAUUUUGUACGUCAGACAACAUUUCCUCUUCUGUUGGAUAUAAGCAGAAAGAAAUGUUUGGGAAAUAUACCUGUUGAAUUGGAACUUUACCACCUAAGUGUACCUCAUCCUGAUCUCCUUAGGCUUAAGUUAAAUAAUUUCAUGCCAGUUUUUUUUUAAUUUUCGGAUUAAAAAAAAACCAACUCAAAUUUUGAAAAUAUCCUGAUGAAAGAACUACCCCACUACUAGUAGACAAUCAGUCAGUGUUGUAAGUAACAGUUUGAAUUUUCAUUCAGUCAUUUUUUCAUAUAUAUGUACUUAUAUAAUAAGGAAAUCUUGUGAAAGCAACUUCUCAAGUUUAUGAAGAAUUUUGUUGAAGCUUGUCCACACUAUCAGUCAUUAUAUGUAUUUGAGCUGCAUUUUCUGUUGGACUCUUCGAUCAGGGGUUACAACCCUUUGUUAUUUGCUUUAUACAUUCUUGUGUAGGCAACCCUUCCCACUUUGUUUAAACAUGCUUAUAUGCUUAAACAUGCUUAUUAGACUUUGAACAGAACAUGGCAUGUGCAUCAGGGAACAGAUUCCCGAUUCUGAUUUUAUAUUGAAUUUGUGAUAUACAACUCUCAAAAAAGUAUUAGCGGGACCAUUUUUGGUGCUCUUUUUGAAACUUAAUAAGAGUGUUUGUAAAAUCUAGGUCAAGUACAUUAUUCCAUGAACUGAGGUGGAAAAAAAUAUAUAUUCGAAGACUUGACAGGUCUCAUUUUUGUGUGAUCUUUAAUAAAUUGGUGACAAAAAACUUCGUAGGAAAGUUCAGGCCAUGGCCAUUAUAUUUUGUUGCAUUUUUGUUUGCUUGAAUGUAUGGAAGGAGAGCUACCGGUAUUCUCACAUUUAAGAUGCUUUCUCAGUAAAUACUUAAUGUAAUGCAUUGAAACUUUAGACAAGUGUUCACGUGCAUCAGGACAGAUAACUAUUUUUUGCUUAUAAUGCAAGUAACUGUCCCAUUAUUAUUCAUUUAAAAAAUCUGAUUAAGAUUUUCUUGUUAAGAUUACAUUAAUUUCAAUCUGGUAUGGUUUUUUGUUAACUGUAAAUGUUCUUGAUUGAUUAAUCAAAAUUGAAAUCAAUGCAGGCAUCAUUUUCAUCCAAUUUUAUAUUGAUCUAAAACAGUUUUACAAAAUAUUUCGAUAAUUAUUUUCAGAAGUUGCUGAAAAGUAGAGCAUGCUCUUGUUUUGUUCAUUGUUCCCGUGUCGUCUGAGACACAAAGAAAAAAACUUAAACAUAAAUGUAUGUGGUUAAAUAUAAGUUGUAUAUUUCA